UCCUGUGAAUCCCACAGAGAGAGAGAGAUGGGUACCGAUGGCUAUGCAGCGACGGUGGCCCGGCAAUGAUGGCGGUGGCCCGGUGACAGCGGUGGUGGUGGCAGCCCUACGAAAGGAAAAUGGUGUAAGAGAGGGAGAGAGGGAGAAUGAGAGAGAGGGAGGGAGGGAGAAAUUGAGGAGGGAGGAUGCUGGCGGUGGCGGAGGGAGGGCGACGGCGGUGGUGGCGGCCCAGCGACAGCAGCAGCCCUAUGAAAGGGAAACGAUGUAAGAGAGGGAGAGUGAGAGAGAAAG
RNAcentral lists this long non-coding RNA (291 nucleotides) under Elaeis guineensis (African oil palm). RNAcentral's name for it is "long non-coding RNA (EGUI_LNC073126)". Lineage: Eukaryota; Viridiplantae; Streptophyta; Magnoliopsida; Arecales; Arecaceae. The record is from RNAcentral.